ACAAGGACAGAAGAGUGAACUUGAAUGUUCUAUGAAAGUUAAGUAAUUUUUCUUCAGGACAGGAUUUAACCUGUCUGUCUUUCCCAAGAGCACAUUCCAAGUGCAUUGCUCAUAAACCCACUGAAGUGUGUCUUUAGAGAUUUAGUAGACAGUGAAGCUGUCAAAAGACAGACUGAUCGAUGGACGACCUUACUCAAAACAGUGAAUUACUAGAAUUCAUAUUGUAGGUUAAUUAAGCACAAUUGGGAAUAUGAUACAAAAUAUUAGGGAGCAGAGUGUUCUGUCUGAGGGACAGGCUCAUUUAACUAUCUCUACCAGAUGGACUCCUCCAUAUUUAGAAGCAUGCUGAAGUUGACUGAAGAUUUAUGCCUUGGAUUCAAAGCUGCUAAGAAGAGCUCUGACUUACCACAAUCCUGAAUUGCUUUAAGUUGACUCAAGAAUCACUGUGAGACCCAGACAGUCAGAACAGCAGUGGGCACAAGAAACCAUUCCUGUACUGGGCACAAUCAUUCCUGUUCAGUUUCAGGACACCAGUUAACCUAAGAUGGAUGUUUCAUGAAAUUUGAAGAAAUCUAGAUGACCCAAAGGAAUACUGCAUAGACAUGGUGACAAUGGGGAUUAGACUGAGAGAUUAACAAUAAGAACAGUAAUAAAAAAAAUCACAAAUCAAAUAUAAGCAAACAGUCAAAAAAAAAAAGAUUUAUAUGUAGAGUAAACUUUGCUUCAGGCACUUUUCAUUCACCCUUCACAGGUAGCUGAUGUGAUGUAAGUUGAUUUUGUUCUGUUCAAACAUCUUUUAUUUUUUUUCUGUUCUUGUUUUCUUCUGACACUAUGCCAAUGCCUGUUCCCUAACAUUCCAACCCUCAGUAAAGAAAGAAAAAAGAAUACAGUGAUGACUUCAAGCUGCAGUGGAAAGGAUAAUCACAAUAAUUCUUUAUUAUAGUGCUGCUACUGAACUGCAGGAGGGCCUGUCUGUGUGAAUUUUUCUUAUAUUUUGUAUUUCCUCUGCUUAAUAAAGAUAUGUUGGUUACAUAACAUGGCAAGUCAGAAAUGGUCCAGUAUUAAUAAAUGAGGGUAUGAGCCCUUGAU
This is a long non-coding RNA of Erpetoichthys calabaricus (reedfish), 1089 nucleotides long. RefSeq lists it as uncharacterized. The record is from RefSeq and is a predicted model, not a curated record. NCBI's taxonomy places the organism in Eukaryota, Metazoa, Chordata, Cladistia, Polypteriformes, Polypteridae. The transcript is spliced from 3 exons.